This 70-nucleotide transfer RNA is filed under the name Lissemys scutata (Burmese flap-shelled turtle). RNAcentral describes it as "tRNA-Asp". The record is from RNAcentral. Lineage: Eukaryota; Metazoa; Chordata; Testudines; Trionychidae.
AAGUCGUUAGUAAAAUACAUUACAUAAUCUUGUCAAGAUUAAAUUAUAGACUAAAACCCCUUACGACUUA